GUGGAGCAUGUGGCUUAAUUUGACUCAACGCGGGGAAUCUUACUAGGUCCGGACCGAUUCUAUGAUCGUCGUACUGUGGGGUGCUACGUGAUUACUGGAUGAGUGGUGCAUGGCCGUUCUUAGUUCGUGGUGUCAGUUGUCUACUUAAUUGUCAUUGGUUCUCGUAUCUUACGGUACAGAACUGAUAACGAACGAGAUCGAGGCCCGUGGUUGUGUCGUAGGUUAUUAUUGUGUGCGGCAUUAACCACGGGGAUCGCGUAAUACUCCACGGUACGAUCGAAAGACUCGGCAAUAACAGGUCUGUGAUGCCCUCAGAUGUUCUAGGCUGCACACGUGCUACAUUGUGGUUUCGUUUGUAUGCGUAGAUAUCUAAGAUCCCCCGCAUCGAGUCAUAAUCGGUCACUCGGUUGGACUCACCGAUUGUAUAAUUAUUCGGUAUACUAA
Molecule: ribosomal RNA, 444 nt
Filed under: Amphistegina lobifera
Lineage: Eukaryota; Foraminifera; Rotaliida; Amphisteginidae
Description: SSU rRNA
Rfam family: Eukaryotic small subunit ribosomal RNA
Source: RNAcentral